Molecule: ribosomal RNA, 490 nt
Filed under: uncultured bacterium
Lineage: Bacteria
Description: bacterial SSU rRNA
Rfam family: Bacterial small subunit ribosomal RNA
Source: RNAcentral
AUUGAACGCUGGCGGCAUGCCUUACACAUGCAAGUCGAACGGCAGCACGGGGGCAACCCUGGUGGCGAGUGGCGAACGGGUGAGUAAUAUAUCGGAACGUGCCCUAGAGUGGGGGAUAACGUAGCGAAAGUUACGCUAAUACCGCAUACGAUCUACGGAUGAAAGUGGGGGAUCGCAAGACCUCAUGCUCAUGGAGCGGCCGAUAUCUGAUUAGCUAGUUGGUAGGGUAAAGCCUACCAAGGCUUCGAUCAGUAGCUGGUCUGAGAGGACGACCAGCCACACUGGGACUGAGACACGGCCCAGACUCCUACGGGAGGCAGCAGUGGGGAAUUUUGGACAAUGGGGGAAACCCUGAUCCAGCAAUGCCGCGUGAGUGAAGAAGGCCUUCGGGUUGUAAGCUCUUUGUUCAGGGAAGAAACGGUGGGGGCGUAAUAUCCUCUGCUAAUGACGGUACCUGAAGAAUAAGCACCGGCUAACUACGUGCCAGCAG